UGGUCCAGCCCAAACCCUGUCAGUCAGAUUGUGGCCCGCAACAUGUCACUUGUGGACCAGAGCACCCUUAGAAGCUUCACCAGAAGAGUGAGCAGGGCUUCACUGGGCCCCUGCAAUGGGUGCUUCUAGUCAUGG
This is a small nucleolar RNA of Manis pentadactyla (Chinese pangolin), 135 nucleotides long. NCBI's taxonomy places the organism in Eukaryota, Metazoa, Chordata, Mammalia, Pholidota, Manidae. The record is from RefSeq and is a predicted model, not a curated record.